AGCACCGGCUAACUCCGUGCCAGCAGCCGCGGUAAUACGGAGGGUGCGAGCGUUAAUCGGAAUUACUGGGCGUAAAGGGUGCGUAGGUGGUUUGAUAAGAUAUCUGUGAAAUACCUGGGCUUAACCUGGGAAGGUCAGAUAAUACUGUUGAACUCGAGUAUGGGAGAGGGUAGUGGAAUUUCCGGUGUAGCGGUGAAAUGCGUAGAGAUCGGAAGGAACAUCAGUGGCGAAGGCGGCUAUCUGGCCUAAUACUGACACUGAGGCACGAAAGCGUGGGGAGCAAACAGGAUUAGAUACCCUGGUAGUCCACGCUGUAAACGAUGUCAACU
This 329-nucleotide ribosomal RNA is filed under the name uncultured Legionella sp. RNAcentral describes it as "bacterial SSU rRNA". It matches the Rfam family "Bacterial small subunit ribosomal RNA", at positions 488 to 817 of the family's 1533-position model. Lineage: Bacteria; Pseudomonadati; Pseudomonadota; Gammaproteobacteria; Legionellales; Legionellaceae. The record is from RNAcentral.